RNAcentral lists this ribosomal RNA (372 nucleotides) under uncultured organism. Its description in RNAcentral is "bacterial SSU rRNA". It matches the Rfam family "Bacterial small subunit ribosomal RNA", at positions 526 to 896 of the family's 1533-position model. The record is from RNAcentral.
CAGAGGGGGCAAGCGUUAUUCGGAAUUAUUGGGCGUAAAGGGCGCGUAGGCGGCGAUUCAAGUGGCGGGUGAAAUCCCUCGGCUUAACCGAGGAACUGCCUGCCAGACUGGAUUGCUUGAGUCCGGGAGAGGUGAGUGGAAUUCCCAGUGUAGCGGUGAAAUGCGUAGAUAUUGGGAGGAACACCAGUGGCGAAGGCGGCUCACUGGACCGGAACUGACGCUGAGGCGCGAAAGCGUGGGGAGCAAACAGGAUUAGAUACCCUGGUAGUCCACGCCGUAAACGAUGAGUGCUUGGUGUAGCGGGUAUCGACCCCUGCUGUGCCGAAGUCAACACAUUAAGCACUCCGCCUGGGGAGUACGGUCGCAAGACUG